AACGCACCUUGCGCUCCUUGGUAUUCCGAGGAGCAUGCCCGUUUGAGUGUCGUGAUAUCAUCAAGCCGACCCCUCCUUUACUGGUGGGGGUUACGCUUGGACUUGGAUGUGCUGCCGGACGGCGACGCCCGGCUCAUCCCAAAUGCAUUAGCUGGAUUUAUUCCUGGCUUGGACUUUUGUUCUCACUCGGCGUGAUAAUCUAUGACCGCUGAGGACAUCUCUCGGGAUGGCCAAGCCUGCCUUGAACUGCUUCUAACUCAUCAUUUCAUGAUAUUUUUCAACUUUGACCUCGAAUCAGGCGGGACUACCCGCUGAACUUAA
Molecule: ribosomal RNA, 321 nt
Filed under: uncultured fungus
Lineage: Eukaryota; Fungi
Description: eukaryotic LSU rRNA
Source: RNAcentral